Long non-coding RNA from Apis cerana (Asiatic honeybee), 4265 nucleotides. RefSeq lists it as uncharacterized. The record is from RefSeq and is a predicted model, not a curated record. NCBI's taxonomy places the organism in Eukaryota, Metazoa, Arthropoda, Insecta, Hymenoptera, Apidae.
AAUUUUUGUUAUUAGCAUUCACAAUAUGACAUAGAGAUUUCGUUCGUUACAAGUACUCGUAGAGAUUUCGUCACAGAAUAUAUAGUAUGUAUUUAGUAGGAUCGAAACAUCAAAGCAAGAAACAUUCCAUGUGUCUGCAGAGAAGGCUACAAAAUGAGAUCGCUGCUGGCCUCAGCGAAAGCGAGGAUGCGAUACUAACGUAGAGUGCAAACCCAAGCACUUUGACUUGGGCACAUGUUGUGCCAACUCAGCGAAAAUGCAAGCUCAUAUCAUCAAAAGGAGGAGAGGCAAGGAAGCGAGAUUAAGCCCUUGUUCGACAGCUGGCAACGUAUAUCAUACGUAAUACACGUACGAGAAUAGCAGAGAGAGCAAUGUGUAGGAAGUACAUUUAGAAAGAACUCUACAUUUAUUAAAAUGUUCUAUAUACAACGAUGGAGGGUGGCGGUGAAGAAGACGAGAAGGAGAGGAGAGGGAAAGCAGAGCAAGGGUGGGGCGACGAAGCUGCCGAUGGGAUGGGGAGCUAUGAGGGCGAAGUUAUCCAAUUAUUGUCUAACCUGGGAGCAACUUUACUUGGCGGAGAACCGUUGGUGGGAGGAAAGCUCGUCCUGCCAGCUCUCUCCCUUCCUACAAUCGAGCCACGAUAAAGUAAAGUUUGUUUCAAAACUUGCCGCGCGGAGAGGUGACUAGGUUUUUGUUAGUGACACGUGAAAUUCAAACGACUUCAUUGCGAUAAUAAUCGCGCAAGUUUUUAAUAUCGACCGAUGAAGAGAAGAAAAUUCAGAUUCGAAAAGGAUUCCAUAAAUUAACUCAAAAUGAUUCAUUAAUGAUUAUAAUAAAACUUUUUCAAGUUUUUUUUGUGAAAUGACAUUAUAAUGUUAUUAAAAAAAUAACAUUAUUGUCUAUAUUUGAUUACAUAUAAUUGAUUACAUAUAAGAGAAAUAACUUUCAAAUAAUUAAAAAUUAUAUUAUUCUCAAUAUAUAAAUUUAAUUAUAUUAAAAGUUAUAUUAUACAUUUAUUAAUUUUUUAUUCUUUAAUAUUUUAGUAGAUUAAUAUAAUAAAUAUUUGUCAAUAAAUGUUAUUAUUGAUAAAGAAUUAAUUAGAAUCAAAUCAUUUUAAUUCAACAAAAUCUUCAUUAUUUAAAAUAUGAUAUUCGGAAUAUUCAUUGAUAAUAAACUAGAAAUAAAUAAGCUUAUUAGGAAAGUGCACUAUAUACACAAUAAUAAUACAUAUGACAUCGUGAAAACCUUUUUAAAGUGAUGUAUUGUUAGCAUCAACAAAUACAUAUUCUAGGUCAAUUUUAGAUACGAAUCAUGCCAUUAUUUUAAUUAAAAAACUUAAAAGUAUAUUUCAAUUAUUUUUAUGUUUUUGAAUUUAUUUAAUAUAUUAAAUAUAAUCAUUCAAAUAUAAAUUUAUUUAUAAAUAAAUAAAUAUAAAUAAAAAUAAAUCAUGACAUAUUUCAUUUAAAUAAUUUAACAUAUAUGUCGAAAAAUUAAUAAUAAAUUUGUAUUAAAAUUUUAUUUUAUUAAAAAAAUUUAAUUAUAUUUUUAAAAUACGUUUAAUUGCAUAAAAUAAAAAUAAAUUUUCACAUUAUAAAAAAAUCUUGUAUGAAACAUUAACAAAUAAAACCGAAACAAAAGAUAUAUCCAAAUAAAAAUUAAAUAUUGAAAAAAAUUCAUGAAAUUAGAAAGAUAAAAAAUGUCAUAGUAACGUUAAAAUAUCCGCAAAUCACCAAACAAUAUACAUUUUAUAAAAGAAAAAAAAAUCUUCUGUAAUGCAAAAUAAACAUAUGCUUAAAUAAAUAUCUGUAUUUAAAAGAAAUGAGAAAAAAAGAACGAAAAAUUGAAAAUGUAAAGAAACAAACAAAAAUAAAAAAUAAAAUAAAACAAAACAAAUAAAAAAAAAAUCUGUCAAGUACUAAAAUGAAGAAAGGAGCAGAAGAAACUUGUCCAAUUAUAAUGACGAGUAUCAGUGUCGGCGUUCGGGCAUUCUCAUCCUUGGGUACAACGGAAUGAUCGGAAAGGGGAGAGAGGGGCUGUUGCUCUGGUACCUUCCGCCUCCGCGUUCGUCUUUCCAGCGGGUAACGAGCGAACGGCCAUGAGUGAAGCAAGGGAAGGAGGGAGAAAAGGGAGUAGGAGAAGAGGAGAGGCGACUACUUAAAGUUGGCGGAAAGUUUGGUUCGGCAGCAAAGUUAACUCAGUUAAGUUCCCCGCUCCUAAAGCGAAACUUCGGUUCUCCAACGCCUGCCCUGCCAGCCUGCCUCUGCCUGCUUACUUUCCGUCUUCUCUUCUUCCUUCAUUUCAUACCUUGCUUUCUAAUAUCUAUCCUCUCUUCUUUCUAUAUCCAUUCCUCUAGUGUUGCACGAAUAAGCAAUGUGUUUUGGAAUUAUUACUUUUCUGUAAACUUUCGCCACGAUGUUUCGCCGUGGCGAUCGAUUGGCAUCGACCCGACCGGUGUCACUCUCGUUUACUUGUCAUUUACGUGCUACUUUCCGUACAUCGAUCAUAUCAAUUUGUGACCUAACCAGAUCCGAAACGAAGCAUUUUGCAAUCAGAAUGAAAAGUUUUAAAGUAUUAUAAACGGAUAUGGAAAAGAAAAAUACUUUUUUUUUUUAACUUAAGCAAAUUAAAUCGAAAAAAAUUUCGGAAUUUUAUGUAUUUAUUCUCAAGAAUGAUUCUUUAGAAUCUCUUAAAAACAUUUAUAUAAAUUCUUAAAUUCUUAAAUUUUAUUAAAUAAUUAUAAAGUUUGAAAUAUCAAAUAAUGAUAUGAUUAAGAAAAUUUUAUGUAACAAUAAAGAUAUAAUUUAUAUUAUAUAUAUAAAUAAUUAAAAUUUAAUUUUUUUAUUUAAAUAAGAAGCUAUAGUAUAAAAAUUAAUAUGAAAAUAUUAAAAAUUUUUGAAUAAUAUGAAUAAUUUUUUUAGACGAAUAUUCCAAGAAAAAAUAUUGCACGAAAAUUCAAGGUCAAUAAUAUAUGACUUACGAUGUUUUUUAAUUACCUAUAAAUUUAAAAAAUUUUUAAAAUAUAAUAAAAAAUUAUAUUAGUUGUAAAAUGAUAAAAAGUAAAAGUGAUUCAGAAACAGCUAGGUGAAGUCUGUAAACUUGGAUAAGAUGUUUCAGGAAGAAAGAUGUUUCUCCCACUUCCCAGAGAACUGUUCCCCUUCCCGUUCUGUGUAGCAGCCAACGAUCGAAAUUCCAAGACGAAGUUUGCGAGAUUCCAAGGAAAGCGUGAGUUUCGCUGGUGUUCAUCGUUACCCUUCUUCGAACGUGUACAUGUAUAGAAGCUUGUAAGCAUCGUUUUGUAACAGACACCAGUCAGCAUGGUCGAGUACUGUCCCUCCUUUGAUGGUACGCCAGAGCAAAAAAAGAAACCGGUCGAGUCGGUACUUACGAAGAGGUUUAGCUUUCAGGGUUCGCGUAUGUAGUUCGAAAAGAAGUUACAACCGUUCUCCCAACAAAGUCAAAGAACUUUGUUGUAUGGUUUUCUUUGAACAACAUUCAAAUAUAACCAAAAAACAAGUUUUAUACUUAACUGGUUUAAUUGAAAUUAUAAAAGGCUUUGUUAAUUGUGCAAAUUUUUUUUUUGGGAUCAUUUAUAUCAUUAUUAUUGGAAAUUUUACAAAUUAAACGUUACUAUUAAUAAUAACAAAAAAUAACUUGCAUAAUAUAGUAAUAAUAAAUAUAGUGAUAAAUUGAAUAAAGUUAUACAAGAGAAUUUUAUAAAUUGUGUUGCAUAAACUGUUAUAAAAACUGUGCAUAUAUAAUAAAAAGUUUAUGAUUUAUAAUUUGUUAAUUUAUUAAUGUUACUAAUUAAAAAGUUUUUAUUUUUUAUUUAAUUCUAGAAAGUGGAAAAUUAUUGAAAAAAUUAUUAAGUAUUACAUUGCCAUAUAAUUUUUUUUAACUACUUUAACUACUUGUGUAAAUGUAAAACGUAAAUAUUAAUUUAUUUAUAUGAUAAUAUAAAUUUUGAUAAACAUAUAAUUAGGUGUCUUAAUCUUUGAGUAAAUAGAUAAUAUGCUUGAAAAUUGUAAAAUUCACAGUAUGAUUCAUUAAAUACAAGAUAAUACUUCGCAUAUUAUAUCUAUUGCGUUAAAGAAAAUAUAUACAAUAUAUGUUUACAUGUAAAUAAGUUGUGGAAAAUUUUCGAAAUGAAUUUUUUGUUUCAAUACACAUUAAAUUAAUUAAUUUUUUUAUUAUAAAUCCUUAAUUGAAAUCCUUAUUAUAAUAAUUUAUGUUAAUAUUAAUAAAUAAAUUAUUGAAAAUAUAAAAAA